CAGUCGCCGCGGUAAUACGGAGGGUGCAAGCGUUAAUCGGAAUUACUGGGCGUAAAGCGUGCGUAGGCGGUUCGUUAAGUCUGUUGUGAAAGCCCCGGGCUCAACCUGGGAAUGGCAAUGGAUACUGGCGAGCUAGAGUGUGUCAGAGGAUGGUGGAAUUCCCGGUGUAGCGGUGAAAUGCGUAGAGAUCGGGAGGAACACCGAUGGCGAAGGCAGCCCCCUGGGCCAACACUGACGCUCAUGCACGAAAGCGUGGGGAGCAAACAGGAUUAGAUACCCCCGUAGUCCCUGUCUCUUAACA
Molecule: ribosomal RNA, 301 nt
Filed under: uncultured bacterium
Lineage: Bacteria
Description: partial 16S ribosomal RNA
Rfam family: Bacterial small subunit ribosomal RNA
Source: RNAcentral